CCUACGGGUGGCAGCAGUGGGGAAUAUUGCACAAUGGGCGCAAGCCUGAUGCAGCCAUGCCGCGUGUGUGAAGAAGGCCUUCGGGUUGUAAAGCACUUUCAGCGGGGAGGAAGGCGUUGAGGUUAAUAACCUCAUCGAUUGACGUUACCCGCAGAAGAAGCACCGGCUAACUCCGUGCCAGCAGCCGCGGUAAUACGGAGGGUGCAAGCGUUAAUCGGAAUUACUGGGCGUAAAGCGCACGCAGGCGGUCUGUCAAGUCGGAUGUGAAAUCCCCGGGCUCAACCUGGGAACUGCAUUCGAAACUGGCAGGCUAGAGUCUUGUAGAGGGGGGUAGAAUUCCAGGUGUAGCGGUGAAAUGCGUAGAGAUCUGGAGGAAUACCGGUGGCGAAGGCGGCCCCCUGGACAAAGACUGACGCUCAGGUGCGAAAGCGUGGGGAGCAAACAGGAUUAGAUACCCCAGUAGUC
Molecule: ribosomal RNA, 465 nt
Filed under: uncultured Klebsiella sp.
Lineage: Bacteria; Pseudomonadati; Pseudomonadota; Gammaproteobacteria; Enterobacterales; Enterobacteriaceae
Description: bacterial SSU rRNA
Rfam family: Bacterial small subunit ribosomal RNA
Source: RNAcentral